RNAcentral lists this ribosomal RNA (505 nucleotides) under uncultured bacterium. RNAcentral's name for it is "partial 16S ribosomal RNA". It matches the Rfam family "Bacterial small subunit ribosomal RNA", at positions 28 to 507 of the family's 1533-position model. The record is from RNAcentral.
GACGAACGCUGGCGGCGUGCCUAAUACAUGCAAGUAGAACGCACAGUUUAUACCGUAGCUUGCUACACCAUAGACUGUGAGUUGCGAACGGGUGAGUAACGCGUAGGUAACCUGCCUGGUAGCGGGGGAUAACUAUUGGAAACGAUAGCUAAUACCGCAUAAUAUUGAUUAUUGCAUGAUAAUUGAUUGAAAGAUGCUAUUGCAUCACUACCAGAUGGACCUGCGUUGUAUUAGCUAGUAGGUGAGGUAACGGCUCACCUAGGCGACGAUACAUAGCCGACCUGAGAGGGUGAUCGGCCACACUGGGACUGAGACACGACCCAGACUCCUACGGGAGGCAGCAGUAGGGAAUCUUCGGCAAUGGACGAAAGUCUGACCGAGCAACGCCGCGUGAGUGAAGAAGGUUUUCGGAUCGUAAAGCUCUGUUGUAAGAGAAGAACGGGUGUGAGAGUGGAAAGUUCACACUGUGACGGUAUCUUACCAGAAAGGGACGGCUAACUACGUG